GGGGUAGGCGCCAUCCGGGCGCGAUCUUCCCGCUGGGCACGGAGCCUCUUGACGGAUCCUUCGAUGCGGCCCUGGAGGCGGGUGCGCUGGAAGCUCAGACCGCCCAUGGACCAGUGAGCAUCCUGAGCCCAGGCGAGGAGCGGCGCCAUCACCGACGACGGAGGGUCAACCCGCUCAGAGUUGAGCUUCACGUCGGUGUAGAAGCGGGGCCGCGGCAGAGCGGUGCCGUAGAACUUGC
RNAcentral lists this unclassified non-coding RNA (238 nucleotides) under Hevea brasiliensis (rubber tree). Lineage: Eukaryota; Viridiplantae; Streptophyta; Magnoliopsida; Malpighiales; Euphorbiaceae. The record is from RNAcentral.